CUUUGGUUUUAUUUUGUUGGUUUUCGAAACUGAAGUAAUGAUUAAUAGGGACGGUUGGGGGCAUUAGUACGUACAUGCUAGAGGUGAAAUUCUUGGAUUUUGUACAGACUACCUGCUGCGAAAGCGUUUGUCAAGGACGUUUUCAUUAAUCAAGAACGAAAGUUAAGGGAUCGAAGAGCAUUAGACACACUCGUAGUCUUAACCAUAAACUAUGCCGACUCGGGAUCAGAUUCAUUCAUUAUGAAGUAUCUGGCACCGUAUGAGAAAUCAAAGUUUUUGGGUUCAGGGGGGAGUACGUUCGCAAGGAUGAAACUUAAAGGAAUUGACGGAAGGGCACCACCAGGAGUGGAGCCUGCGGCUUAAUUUGACUCAACACGGGGAAACUCACCAGGUCCAGA
Molecule: ribosomal RNA, 398 nt
Filed under: uncultured fungus
Lineage: Eukaryota; Fungi
Description: SSU rRNA
Rfam family: Eukaryotic small subunit ribosomal RNA
Source: RNAcentral